This 549-nucleotide ribosomal RNA is filed under the name uncultured Glomus. Its description in RNAcentral is "SSU rRNA". It matches the Rfam family "Eukaryotic small subunit ribosomal RNA", at positions 548 to 1098 of the family's 1831-position model. Lineage: Eukaryota; Fungi; Glomeromycota; Glomeromycetes; Glomerales; Glomeraceae. The record is from RNAcentral.
UUGGAGGGCAAGUCUGGUGCCAGCAGCCGCGGUAAUUCCAGCUCCNAUAGCGUAUAUUAAAGUUGUUGCAGUUAAAAAGCUCGUAGUUGAAUUUCGGGGUCAGUAGGUUGGUCAUGCCACUGGUAUGUACUGAUCUUACUGAUUCCUCCUUCCUGAUGAACCGUAAUGCCAUUAAUUUGGUGUUGCGGGGAGACUGGACUGUUACUUUGAAAAAAUUAGAGUGUUUAAAGCAGGCUAACGCUUGAAUACAUUAGCAUGGAAUAAUGAAAUAGGACGUUCGAUCCUAUUUUGUUGGUUUCUAGGAUAGACGUAAUGAUUAAUAGGGAUAGUUGGGGGCAUUAGUAUUCAAUUGUCAGAGGUGAAAUUCUUGGAUUUAUUGAAGACUAACUACUGCGAAAGCAUUUGCCAAGGAUGUUUUCAUUAAUCAAGAACGAAAGUUAGGGGAUCGAAGACGAUCAGAUACCGUCGUAGUCUUAACCAUAAACUAUGCCGACUAGGGAUCGGAUGAUGUUAAUUUUUUAAUGACUCAUUCGGCGCCUUACGGGAAAC